GAGAUACACUCUCCUUCGGGCAAUGGAUACAGGUGGUGCAUGGUUGUCGUCAGCUCGUGCCGUGAGGUGUUGGGUUAAGUCCCGCAACGAGCGCAACCCUUGUCAUUAGUUGCUACAUUCAGUUGGGCACUCUAAUGAGACUGCCGGUGACAAACCGGAGGGAAGGUGGGGAUGACGUCAAGUCCUCAUGGCCCUUAUAGGUGGGGCUACACACGUCAUACAAUGGAUGGUACAAAGGGUCGCCAACCCGCGAGGGGGAGCCAAUCCCAUAAAGCCAUUCGUAGUCCGGAUCGCAGUCUGCAACUCGACUGCGUGAAGUCGGAAUCGCUAGUAAUCGUGGAUCAGAAUGUCACGGUGAAUACGUUCCCGGGUCUU
This 375-nucleotide ribosomal RNA is filed under the name uncultured Polaromonas sp. RNAcentral describes it as "bacterial SSU rRNA". It matches the Rfam family "Bacterial small subunit ribosomal RNA", at positions 1003 to 1382 of the family's 1533-position model. Lineage: Bacteria; Pseudomonadati; Pseudomonadota; Betaproteobacteria; Burkholderiales; Comamonadaceae. The record is from RNAcentral.